ACUUAGAACUGGCUUAACCUCUUCAAGAUGUGACCUUUGUCCCUGUAACACAGCUGACUCAGUGGCUUCCCCAAAAGGCCACAGGAAGACUUCAUGGCUGACGAGACGGGAAGCCGAGAGGAAGGCUUGCCCUCAGGCACUCAGCCAGGGGCCCAGAGACGGUGAGGGGCCUCCGGGGGGUCCUACAGGGCACCCCUGUCUUGUUCUUUCCAUCAGCCAAUGCCCAACCCUGUCCUGGGAGCAGGGAGCUGCCUCGUGAGGCCUCGCCCUUUGCCCUGGAGCUUCCCAGCCAGAGCCGGUGAUGUUCCCCAGGGUGUGGAGCCAGGUGUCUUUCCUCGAGGGGGGCACAAGAAGACAGUCCCCGAGGCCGCCAACACUCUAAGGGGCCGAAAGAGGUGGCUGUCAGCACCAGGGCUCCAGGUCAUGGGCCAGGAUGAGCUUGCUUAAACCAUUCCCUUCCUGCCUGAACUGGGGAGGACCUUCUGAAAGCAGCCCACAAAGUUGGCCACUCAGUGCCUUCGCCGCUGUCCUGUCGGAGCAGCCAGCAGCCUGUGACUCAGCAAGACCCAGCAGACUCCACUGUUCCUGCCCGAGCAGGCCUCAAGUUGGGUGUCGUCACCCCACCAGCCCCUGCCUUGGUGGCAGGAUGUCACCAAGCUGCUGGACAACUCUGUGCCUCAGAUUCUUCCCUGGUGAGGCCACCAACGUGCCCAAGGGCUCCUCGGUCACAGUGCAUGGUAUGCAGCUGCGUCCUGGCCAGGCUCCGUGACGACGUGGGAGGCAGCCCUGCUGGUCCGGAGAGCACCUGGUGGGUCGUGCCCAGGGCCACGAGGCCAAGCAGAGCAGACACUAAUCUUACAAGUGGACAUUAAAACAACUUGGCCUUGGAGAGACCCCACGGGUGGAAGGGUGGCUGCUGGUGCCAGAUGCCUGGCGGAGCAGGCUCUGCUCCGGAAGGCCUGCCUGCGGCCCAGUGGGUAGCCGUGUCCCACCUGUACAGGUGAGUCCUUAAAGGCGCAGAGACGCUGAGUGACUUGCUCCAGGGCACCCGGCAGAAGAGAGAGAACUUGGAGCUCGGCCAUGCAGGAGGGGGAGAGACAAGAAGUGGGCCUGGGAGCUUUCCGUCUUGUUGCCUCUGCUCCGUGGGCGCCCGUGCCACCCAGCAGGCAGAGGACAGCACAUGGCCUCCUCAACCACUGGUUUGGAGACGCUCCCUGCCCGGCUGCACCUGGCGUGCAGACCAGACAUACUCAGGCUCGAACCCCAGCAUGGCCAAACCCUGCAGUGCCCCAGUGACGGCUGCAGGGUUUUAGACGAGUUGCCCCAAGAUGUGCCUCUGUGGCGCAUGGAUUAUUUUGAGCUAAAGGCAAGUGAGACCCUGGAGGCACAACAGAAACUUCGGUUCCCCCUUAACUGCUUAGAAUAAUUCAAAUUAGGGUCCUUGCCUGUAAUAGAUUAUCAGAGGUAAUUUUUUUUAUCAAUCAGCAGGGCAAAUGUCUACAAACUGCCCCUCUGCUCUCGCCACCCUGCAGUGACCUCCCUCCCCUCCGAAGCCCCAAGGUGCCUGGCCUCAUCCUUCGCUCGGAAUGCCGUAAGCGCCUCAUCCUCCCCUCUGUCUCGGAACCUGUUAUAUAUGUGGGGUCUCGGGCUCUCUCAGGUACAAUAUGCAGGUUCCCGUACAUACUGCCUCAUUAAAUGUGGCUCUUGUCUCUUGUUAA
This is a long non-coding RNA of Phyllostomus hastatus (greater spear-nosed bat), 1718 nucleotides long. RefSeq lists it as uncharacterized. The record is from RefSeq and is a predicted model, not a curated record. Lineage: Eukaryota; Metazoa; Chordata; Mammalia; Chiroptera; Phyllostomidae. The transcript is spliced from 2 exons.